Molecule: unclassified non-coding RNA, 572 nt
Filed under: Hevea brasiliensis (rubber tree)
Lineage: Eukaryota; Viridiplantae; Streptophyta; Magnoliopsida; Malpighiales; Euphorbiaceae
Source: RNAcentral
GAGGAUCCGGACUGCUUUCUCUACCUUCGCUCCGCCAUUUCUCCCUCCCACCGUAUUCUUCGUUGCUCGGAUCAGAUUUCUUCAACUCCAUCUAGGGUUUCAUAUUCUUAAGUCUAGAACUCCAUUAUAGCCAAGUUCAGACGAAACUUUGAAGGUUUAGCGUCAUCAAAUUGGGCACUUUAAGUUGAAAAGGAGAAGGUUCUUAUUUUCGGUGUAUAUUUUGCAUCUGGAAAUUUAGCUGAUUAACAAUGUCGGUCACGGCAGGGGUUAGUGAUACUGUAAUUGCUGUUAGGGAUAAACUUAGAGGUAAAAUUGGACAAACAAAAGUUAAGAGGUACUGGCCUGGAAAGGCUCCUGAGUGGGCGGAUGAUGCUGAUGAAGAUGGCGAUAUUAGGAUGGCCAGGGCAGCAGCACUUGAGAAAGCAUUUCCAAGUCAGGAAGAUUCAAAUCUAUCUAGGAAGGAUGACCCUAGGUUGCGCCGUCUAGCUGAGAGUAGGAUAGAUAAUCGGGAGGAGAUCAGAGCUGAUCAUCGACGUAUUCGCCAAGCUGAGAUUGUUUCAACCAUUGAAGAG